RNAcentral lists this ribosomal RNA (521 nucleotides) under uncultured bacterium. Its description in RNAcentral is "bacterial SSU rRNA". It matches the Rfam family "Bacterial small subunit ribosomal RNA", at positions 8 to 526 of the family's 1533-position model. The record is from RNAcentral.
AGAGUUUGAUCCUGGCUCAGAAUGAACGCUGGCGGCGUGCCUUACACAUGCAAGUCGAGCGAGGCCGGGUAGCAAUACCCGAGUCGAGCGGCGAACGGGUGAGUAACACGUGGAUAACCUGCCCAGAGGUGGGGGAUAACCCGGGGAAACUCGGGCUAAUACCGCAUGAUACCGAGAGGUCAAAGGGGGCUCGCAAGGGCUCUCGCCAUUGGAGGGGUCCGCGUCCGAUUAGCUAGUUGGUAGGGUAAUGGCCUACCAAGGCGACGAUCGGUAGCCGGCCUGAGAGGGUGAUCGGCCACACUGGAACUGAGACACGGUCCAGACUCCUACGGGAGGCAGCAGUGGGGAAUUUUGCGCAAUGGGCUAACGCCUGACGCAGCAACGCCGCGUGGAGGAUGAAGGUCUUUGGAUUGUAAACUCCUGUCAGCAGGGAAAAAGCGAUAGGUGCUCAUACCACCUAAAGUUGAUUGUACCUGCAGAGGAAGCCCCGGCUAACUCUGUGCCAGCCGCCGCGGUAAUAC